UACGGAGGGGGCUAGCGUUGUUCGGAAAUACUGGGCGUAAAGCGUACGUAGGCGGCUUGGCAAGUCAGGGGUGAAAUCCCGGAGCUCAACUCCGGAACUGCCCUUGAAACUGGUCGUCUAGAGAUCGGAAGAGGUGAGUGGAAUUCCCAGUGUAGAGGUGAAAUUCGUAGAUAUUGGGAAGAACACCAGUGGCGAAGGCGGCUCACUGGUCCGAUACUGACGCUGAGGUGCGAAAGCGUGGGGAGCAAACAGG
This 253-nucleotide ribosomal RNA is filed under the name uncultured bacterium. RNAcentral describes it as "partial 16S ribosomal RNA". It matches the Rfam family "Bacterial small subunit ribosomal RNA", at positions 524 to 776 of the family's 1533-position model. The record is from RNAcentral.